RNAcentral lists this ribosomal RNA (910 nucleotides) under uncultured bacterium. RNAcentral's name for it is "bacterial SSU rRNA". It matches the Rfam family "Bacterial small subunit ribosomal RNA", at positions 60 to 1001 of the family's 1533-position model. The record is from RNAcentral.
AGUCGACGAUGAAUCUUCUAGCUUGCUAGAAGUGGAUUAGUGGCGCACGGGUGAGUAAUGCAUAGGUUAUGUGCCCUUUAGUCUGGGAUAGCCACUGGAAACGGUGAUUAAUACUGGAUACUCCCUACGGGGGAAAGUUUUUCGCUAAAGGAUCAGCCUAUGUCCUAUCAGCUUGUUGGUGAGGUAAUGGCUCACCAAGGCUAUGACGGGUAUCCGGCCUGAGAGGGUGAUCGGACACACUGGAACUGAGACACGGUCCAGACUCCUACGGGAGGCAGCAGUAGGGAAUAUUGCUCAAUGGGGGAAACCCUGAAGCAGCAACGCCGCGUGGAGGAUGAAGGUUUUAGGAUUGUAAACUCCUUUUGUUAGAGAAGAUUAUGACGGUAUCUAACGAAUAAGCACCGGCUAACUCCGUGCCAGCAGCCGCGGUAAUACGGAGGGUGCAAGCGUUACUCGGAAUCACUGGGCGUAAAGAGUGCGUAGGCGGGGUAAUAAGUCAGAUGUGAAAUCCUGUAGCUUAACUACAGAACUGCAUUUGAAACUGUUACUCUGGAGUGUGGGAGAGGUAGGUGGAAUUCUUGGUGUAGGGGUAAAAUCCGUAGAGAUCAAGAGGAAUACUCAUUGCGAAGGCGACCUGCUGGAACAUUACUGACGCUGAUGCACGAAAGCGUGGGGAGCAAACAGGAUUAGAUACCCUGGUAGUCCACGCCCUAAACGAUGGAUGCUAGUUGUUGCCUUGCUUGUCAGGGCAGUAAUGCAGCUAACGCAUUAAGCAUCCCGCCUGGGGAGUACGGUCGCAAGAUUAAAACUCAAAGGAAUAGACGGGGACCCGCACAAGCGGUGGAGCAUGUGGUUUUAUUCGAAGAUACGCGAAGAACCUUACCUAGGCUUGACAUUGAUAGAAUCUACU